This 1161-nucleotide ribosomal RNA is filed under the name Micrathyria atra. RNAcentral describes it as "partial 16S ribosomal RNA". The record is from RNAcentral. Lineage: Eukaryota; Metazoa; Arthropoda; Insecta; Odonata; Libellulidae.
AUAAUUAUUCCCUUACUUUAUAUUUUUUAUUUUUUUUGAGAAAAAUCUUUAAUUUAGUAUUUUAAUGAUAAAAUUAUUUUUGUUAUAGUCUAUUAGUACUGUGAAGGAAUAUGGUGAAAUAAUUGAUAUAUUAAUUUAUCAUAAGUAUAUUUUGUUUAUAGUACCUUUUGUAUCAGGGUUGAUCAAAUAAUUUAAUUUAUAUUUAUAUCUCGAUUUCAAAAGAGCUAAUUUAUUAUUAUAGUUAAUGUGUCAUAAUUAUUAUAAAUAUAAAUUAGAAGAGAAACUUUAUUCGAUUUUGAGGGUAUCUAGUUUUUUAAGAAAUAAAUUUAAUUUAGUUUUAUUAAUUAAUUUUUAUAUUUAUGUACCAAUUAUUUAAUGAAAGUAAAAUUAUAGGGGACAAGCUCUAUAUUUUUCUAUAAAAUUUAUUGAAACAUAUUUUUGUAGGUUUAAAAUUAUCCAUCAAUAGUAAGUGUGUUAUAAUUUAUGUAUUUUAUUUAACAAUUUUGUGGAUUUUAGUAUAAUAUUAAAAUAUCAUAAUUAAUUUUUUAUUUUGGGAAAUAAUGAUUGAAUUAGUAUAAAGUAUUGUUUAUGAUUUUAUUUAUUGAAUGAUAAUAUAAGGAACUCGGCAAAUAUAGUUCUCGCCUGUUUAACAAAAACAUGUCCUUUUGAGGUUUAUAAAAGGUCUGACCUGCCCAGUGAUGAAUUUAACGGCCGCGGUAUACUGACCGUGCAAAGGUAGCAUAAUCAUUAGUCUUUUAAUAGAGGGCUGGAAUGAAAGGUUUAACGAGGAACUGACUGUCUCAUAUUAUUUGUUUUAGAAUUUAAUUUUUUAGUCAAAAAGCUAAAAUUUUAUUGGAAGACGAGAAGACCCUAUAGAUCUUUAUAUAAUUUUAUUUAUUCAUUUAUAUAUAAAUGUGGUUGAAUUAUUAUUGUAUUUUGUUGGGGUGACAAGAAUAUAUAAAUAACUUUUUUAUUUAUUUAACAUUGAUUUAUGAUUAUUAGAUCCAUUAUUAGUGAUUAUUAGAUUAAGUUACCUUAGGGAUAACAGCGUAAUCCUCCUCCAGAGUUCAUAUUUACAGGAUGGGCUUGCGACCUCGAUGUUGGAUUAAGAUAAUAAUUAGGUGUAGCCGCUUAAUUUAUAGGUCUGUUCGACCUUUAAAC